GCCAAACAAGAAGAUAGAAGAAAAAGAGGUGAUAUGAUCACUAUGUACAAAAUAGUAACAGGAAUUGAUAAAAUUGAUAGGGAAGAUUUCCUGAGACCUGGAACUUCAAGAACAAGAGGCCAUAGAAUUAAAUUUAACUAAAGAAAGAUGCCAGAGAAAUGAAAGAAAAUUCACUUUCACAAACAAUGGUAAACGAUUGGAACAAGUUAGGUGAGAAGGUGGUGGAGGCCAAAACCGUCAGUAAUUUCAAAGCGUUUUAUGACAAAAGAGUGCUGUGAAGACGGGACACCACGAGCGUAGCUCUCAUCCUGUAACUACACUUAGGUAAUUACACACUCACACACCUAUACUGGUAUAUACAGUACAAUGAAACCCUUAUAUAAAUAACUACAGUAUAUGAGGGAGACCCAACUCCUUGCAUCUGGAUAUUCACUUCACUUACAAGUUGUUUUCUCUCUCUCUCCCCCCAUCUCUCUCUCUUCUCUCCUACCCUCCCUUCUCUAUUUCUCCACUCUUUUGAAUACAAAUACUGUACUUUAUAUACAGUUUGUUAUUUUUGUGCAUUAUGAUAAUUCAAAUGUCAUAAUUUUCAUACAGUAAAAAUAAAAUACAAAAAUCUAAAAUGCUUAUAAAGUAAACAUUUUAUAUAAAUAUUAUAAUAUACUGUGUCAGUCUUGCUUAACCCCUUUCCUCUGAUAAGCAAGAACACUUGCUUUAAAAAAGAAAUCACUAAGUUUUCUUAGAUGCAUUGAAACAAAAAAGUACUGUAGUUUCCAUGUCCUGUAUCAUUCAUCCAGACUUUUGGCAUACAGAACAGGAGUUUGGGCCUGGUAGCUGCAGCAUUUGGUGGCAAUAGAGUAAAACCUCAAGCACUGUGGUCGUUCUAAACCUGUCAGGAAUAAUUUGUUAUAAUUCAAUAUUUUGGUCACCAUUAUGAAUGAUAUAAUAAUGGUAAAUUUGAAAAGAGCAUUAUUUUGUCUACAAGAAACAACACAAAUCAAUGUAGAAAAAAUGGGGAAGUGGCAGAAUUUCUUGUUUCUGGAAGAAUCCUUCCAGAAAGAAAUGACUAAUAAAGUCUCCCUUUAUUAACUCCCUGAGCUUAACACUUUUUCCACAUAAAUCUUAAGCUCAAUACCACAGGUAUCUGAUAUCUAUCUGUCACCUACCUUAAGCCCGGACCAGAAUUUGGUUCAUUCAAUGAGUUGACAGUCGCAAGAGGAUCAGGGAUCAAUCACAAAACUAAGAAAAAUCCACCAGAAAACAAAAACACACCAAAAUAAGUGACUGCUUGAAAUAAAUGAGGCACUCCAAUGGAAACAUGUCAACCAGUCAUUUAUGUGGGAUUAAAUAAAUACCACACUAGACAAUGUCCCAAGUCACCUGGAGUCUUAGUUAGCCUGCCUCCUCACUCAGGAGCUGCCUGUGCAAUACAGUACCACAAAACCCCACGAAGAAGAGAAUGGGAAGUUACAGUACUGGAAGUUCACCAGAAAAAGUGUUUCAUCAUAUUUCGUGGGGAGACUGUAGACAGAAUGACAAGAAAGCUGAUCAGAGUGCCAAACAUUCAUGUAUCUUCAGAUUAGGGACAAAUAGCUGGCUCACUGAACUGAACCUUUAUGCAGAGGACCUAGGAGAAGUUGACCUUUAAACAAUGCACGAACAGAGCCUUGACCCCAACAGUGUGAGGAGAGCACACACAAAAAAAAAUUCAUGCUGCAGCUGCCAGAUAAAGGAAAUAGCUGGAGCCAGUUGGAGAUAAAAAAAUAUCCGAGGUAGCAGGAUAAAGAGACAAUGACACAUCUCUAACCAAACGCCAGUAAGUGAGGCUCUGCCAAGUCCUAAAGAGACGAGGCAGCAAUCAGUGUACAGUAUUAUGAAUAAACAAGAAUAAAAAAGACAAAAUCAACACAAACUGACACAAAGGAUACUGAAGAGAGGAACAAAUGGAAGGACCACCAGGCCACACCUUCAAAUAACCUGCCAAGGUUAUUUGGAACUGUUAGCAAUUUCAAUAGAGGAAUUCUCAACUCCCACAAGUAUAAUUGAGUACUAUAUAUACAUUGCACAAUGCAGCAUCAAAUUUGAAUAUUCACAGGAUAUACAUUUAUUAUGAUGACUAAACCAUACCAGAAGAUGACUUAUCAACUUGAUAAUGGUCCAGGACAGACUGAAACAUCGUCGUCUCCUCAUCUUUUGGUGUGUGAUUUGGUCAUCAUAUCUUCAGCCACGUUAUUGUGACUCAUCGUUUGUAUACAUUUAUUAUAUUACAGUAUCAACUUUUUGUUUGCGCCAUAAGAUAGAGUAAUCAUAUGUAAACAUUUGGGUGUGGCACCAAAAUUAAAUAUUAACAUUUGUGUGCAGUAAACUGCCACUCACAUAAACAGUUCAUCUCUCUCCUACACUCCUCCACAACUCUCACCAAAUUGUUUAAUUUUCUUUUCUGCUCAAAGGACAUUUAUUUCUUUUUUUUUCUCUUACCCAGCACCAUGACUGAUGUUGGGACACCAUCUUAAUAAGAAAAAUGGAAAUAGAGUGGUGAGAGAAUGUGUUGUUUAACAAUAAAAUCAAAUGCUACAUACAACAACUACUAUACUGUGAAACAUUCUUUGGCUAUUUGUGUGCAUUUUUUAUUGUUUGACAAAAUUUUUAUAAAAAUUUGUCUUACUGUAUUUGAGUUUGUUUUAAAGAUUUUUUUUUACAAACAGCCUUUAUAAAUAUUCUCAUGAAAAGUUUGGAGGCUUUGAUGGGAGUCACAAAACCUAAUAAAGGUACUUAGAGAAAUGUUUGGUAAAAUAUCUGUCACCAAAUAAAAUUUGGGACAACAGAAACACCACAACAUUGAUUUUCUUCAAUGCCACCAGAUUGCAACAUCAACCACCCAGAACUUUGGCUAAGGUAAGUUUCCCUUACUAUCUUCCUCUGACCUUUGCCCUACGGAAACCAAGUAUCUUAAUUUAUUGGCAAGCUGAUAUUUUGUUGCUUGUUUAAUGGAUUUUUUUUUCUCUGCCCUAUUGUAGGUCUUAGCACUUCCUUCUUACCUGGGUGGCUAUACUGUAAUCUAGUGACAUUGAAGACGUCAACAAGUGGGGUUUGGGUUUUAUUUUGUGCUUGGUUGCUACCAAACUUUUUUGUAGUGUUUUGAGUUUCUGUGACUACCUUUUGGCUCUAGGACAGUUUUUUCUGUCAUGGGUUAAUCUUCCCCUGCCUCUGUGUGGGGAAACAAGAUGCUGGUCCUAGAAUUUGGUAGCCUGAGAUUGUCACAAGUCUGGUGAGUCGAAAGUAACAAUGCUUUUAAACUCAUUUAUCAAUUUGAGUUUGCUUCAAAGUUUUUAUAUUUUUAUUGAAAUUUGGUUGAGAUUGUGAUGAGGUCAGCUGCCUCUGAUAUGUUUCAGUUAACACACAUUCGUUGGUCCAAAAACUGCGUUAUCGUGGGGGCCCUUUGAAGGACUAGAAAUUUUGCAGAUUUUCUGGCAUAGUGCUUCUCCUGAUAACCUUACCUUGUUUUUUUUUUUUUUUUAAGUGAAUGUGGUAGUAAUAGUAAAAUAAUUUAAGUGAGGGAAUUGUAGUGUAUUUGAUCUUUUGCAGUGUAUUGAUGGUGAAUGAACUUAGUAAGUACACCCUGCCAAAUUCUUCGGGUGUUCCUGAGUAAGCAUAACAGUUUUAGAAAUUAGUAUUCUGUUCCUUGCUUCUUUGAAUUAAAAGCAGAUUGCUUCUCUAAAUCAUUUAGCAAUACAGUACUUAGCAUGCACUUGGAUUUGAAAAUACUGUAUAAAAUUUAGGAUUUGUUAACCGUAAUAUUUUUUCUCAAAUCUUUGUUUUUAAAAUAGCUCUUAUUAGCUUUUGUUUUCACCUAGCAAACUUAUGAUAAACAAAAUUAAUUAAUACCAGUAUGAGGUUCAGAGUGGUGGUGACUGGUGUGUGUUAACAAGGCAGAAAGUAACUUAACGUUAAAAGAAGCAUGUGCAAAAUUGUUAACAACCAUAAGUACUUUGCAUUAUCCAGUUAAAGUUGUUACUGUAAGGUCUGGACAUGCAUAGUAGCUGAAUUGUAUUAGACUUGGUAUACCCUAUUAAAAUGUAGAAUGCCACUUGUAUUAGCAGAAACAUUUCCAAACUUAAGAUUUAAUCAGAUUGGUCAGAAUCGUUAUAACAUGUAGUAGAUCUGAAGAGC
Non-coding RNA from Procambarus clarkii (red swamp crayfish), 4170 nucleotides. Lineage: Eukaryota; Metazoa; Arthropoda; Malacostraca; Decapoda; Cambaridae. The record is from RefSeq and is a predicted model, not a curated record.